GACGAACGCUGGCGGCGUGCUUAACACAUGCAAGUCGAACGGAAAGGCCCUGCUUUUGUGGGGUGCUCGAGUGGCGAACGGGUGAGUAACACGUGAGUAACCUGCCCUUGACUUUGGGAUAACUUCAGGAAACUGGGGCUAAUACCGGAUAGGAGCUCCUGCUGCAUGGUGGGGUUUGGAAGGUUCGGCGGUUGGGGGUGGACUUGGGGCUUAUCAGCUUGUUGGUGGGGUAGUGGCUUACCAAGGCUUUGACGGGUAGCCGGCCUGAGAGGGUGACCGGCCACAUUGGGACUGAGAUACGGCCCAGACUCCUACGGGAGGCAGCAGUGGGGAAUAUUGCACAAUGGGCGGAAGCCUGAUGCAGCAACGCCGCGUGCGGGAUGACGGCCUUCGGGUUGUAAACCGCUUUCGCCUGUGACGAAGCGUGAGUGACGGUAAUGGGUAAAGAAGCACCGGCUAACUACGUG
RNAcentral lists this ribosomal RNA (467 nucleotides) under uncultured bacterium. RNAcentral's name for it is "partial 16S ribosomal RNA". It matches the Rfam family "Bacterial small subunit ribosomal RNA", at positions 28 to 507 of the family's 1533-position model. The record is from RNAcentral.